This 46-nucleotide non-coding RNA is filed under the name Schistosoma mattheei. Lineage: Eukaryota; Metazoa; Platyhelminthes; Trematoda; Strigeidida; Schistosomatidae. The record is from RNAcentral.
CUUCGACUUGACGAGUCCCAAAUAGGACGAAACGCGCGUCCUGGAU